RNAcentral lists this ribosomal RNA (190 nucleotides) under uncultured bacterium. RNAcentral describes it as "partial 16S ribosomal RNA". It matches the Rfam family "Bacterial small subunit ribosomal RNA", at positions 337 to 524 of the family's 1533-position model. The record is from RNAcentral.
UCCUACGGGAGGCAGCAGUGAGGAAUAUUGGACAAUGGGUGAGAGCCUGAUCCAGCCAUCCCGCGUGAAGGAUGACGGUCCUACGGAUUGUAAACUUCUUUUGUAUAGGGAUAAACCUCUCUACGUGUAGAGAGCUGAAGGUACUAUACGAAUAAGCACCGGCUAACUCCGUGCCAGCAGCCGCGGUAAU